This is a long non-coding RNA of Artibeus jamaicensis (Jamaican fruit-eating bat), 544 nucleotides long. RefSeq lists it as uncharacterized. The transcript is spliced from 3 exons. The record is from RefSeq and is a predicted model, not a curated record. NCBI's taxonomy places the organism in Eukaryota, Metazoa, Chordata, Mammalia, Chiroptera, Phyllostomidae.
UUUCUACCCAGUUAAGAGAUAUGCUAAACAACUAAAGGUUCCAGAAAAACCCCAACUCGAAUCUGGUAUUUCACUGUUACCAUGUACUCUACACUUUCACAAGAAACGGCUACACCCUGAGCUUGGCACAGAUCCUUAUGGAAGAUGAACUUGUCGUCAGAGAAUGGUGGGGGGACAUAUGUUUCAUCCACCACCAAGCUGCUGAAGCAUGGCCUCCUGUUGGCAUAUGAAGAAGUGCAGCACUGGCCGACAGCAGGGUUUAUAGGAGUCUCUUCGUGCCGGAUGCAUAAUUGUCCAAUAAUGAGCUUGCUCAGACACUGUCGAGUGAACUGUUCACACUCCCACCAGCUGUUCCAGAAGGGCAGGAAGCCUGGCCACGUCUAACUAUGUGAGCUGACUUUUCACACCCCCUCCAACUGUAACUGGCCAAAUAACUCUAAGUCACCUCCACAAUGGUUUUUGCCAUUUUCCCUCAGUAGGAACAAGGAGGCCAUUUCAAACAAGGCAGAAACGAGACAGGAUGAGAUGAGACACUCACCGCGCC